Micropterus salmoides (largemouth bass) is the source of this 212-nucleotide long non-coding RNA. RefSeq lists it as uncharacterized. The record is from RefSeq and is a predicted model, not a curated record. The transcript is spliced from 3 exons. Lineage: Eukaryota; Metazoa; Chordata; Actinopteri; Centrarchiformes; Centrarchidae.
AUUACUGCUUGGGGCAUUAUGUAGCCAUGGACAGGCCAUGCCACGGGAGGAGAAGCACCGGUUGAGGAACCAAGUGGUCGAGAUGUUUGACCAUGCAUAUCAGAAUUAUAUGGACCAUGCAUACCCAGCAGAUGAGUUGAUGCCACUGACAUGCAGAGGAAGAGUACGUGGGCUUGAACCCAGUCGAGGUGACGUAGACGACGCUCUGGGAA